Molecule: long non-coding RNA, 11323 nt
Filed under: Capsella rubella
Lineage: Eukaryota; Viridiplantae; Streptophyta; Magnoliopsida; Brassicales; Brassicaceae
Description: long non-coding RNA (CRUB_LNC004780)
Source: RNAcentral
GUUAACCAUGCAUGUCUUUAUACAUUUACGAUAGGUGAUUUUUUUUUAUUCUUUAGUUAUUAAAAAAUUAAACUCUAAUGGAAAUGGCUAACUUGGUAUAUUUUUGUACAUUUUCUCUGUAAUGUAAAUUUUAAAUUUAUUUAUAUUUAAUGUAUGGUGCCUUUCUCAAAAAAAAAAAAAAAAAAUGUAUGGUGCAAGAAAUUUUAAAUAUAUAUUUCAUGUCCCGCGCAUAGUGAUGGCAAAAGAAGUGGGUAAAGUUAGCCAUUGUGAUUUGCCAUUUUAGGAAUAUUUUCUAAUAUAUUCAACAAUUUGAGGACAUAAAAGAUGACAAAUUAAGAUAAGCAUGGACCGCGUGGCCAUGGACCAGUAAAAUUUAUAUCACCCGGAAAGAGUGGGUAACCAUCAUCAUCAUUGUCAUUAUAUACAUCAUCAUCAUCAUGAUCAUCAUUAACAUCAUACCAUGCCUUUAUCAAUAUCAUUUAAACACCAUAUCGUCAUAACUCAUCAGCUUGCCAUCUGAAGUAGCGGCAUCACCAUCAAUUCCUCCACCACCAAACUAUCAUCAGUAUUAUUCUCUUAUCAUCAUCAUCAUCAUCAUCGCCAUCAUUAUCCCAUCAUCUAAGUGGGAUUUUUAAAAGCAUUUGCGACAUAAAACAUAGUAACUUUAGUAGUAUACAUAUAAGUGCCUUUUUACAAAACGAAACAAAGCCAAGAAUCAGAUCACUCAAAAUACAUUAAAUCCCAAUAUAUACAAUAUACUGGCACUUAGAGAGAAGCUGUUCAGCUUCAGCUUCUUGGUUUGAUUUAAUGUCGUUAUCGCCGUUUGAUUGUCCACGGCAAAAUGAGCGGAAUGGGAGCAUUGUCGGUGAAGACUCUCCGACUUGAUGUGUCCUCAAUCCUCAUACUUCCACUGGUCCUAAAAGCCACGCCAUUUUGUUUACACCAAGCGAACCACCGCUGUAAAUUCAUCAAAGAAGUUGACCACGGGUUAAUACUUUUGAAGGCAUGACUGAGUAUGCCUCCAGUUAUUUAUGCAUCUUGACACGAGAUUACUUGUCUUGCUUAGUCAAAAGCUUGUAAGAACUUGUCAACUUGAACUUGAAAAUAUUUGUAACAUAUUUUUUUUGGUUGGUGCUUAUACUUCCUUACAUAUUGUUUUCCUUAGCUACACUAGUUUUCUUUUAAAUUGUUUUUAUAUGUUUUUAUUUCCGUUAAUUACAUUAUUAAACGAAAUUUUACACUAGUUUUAUUUUAAAUUGUUUUUAUAUGUUUUACAAUGCAAACUCUAGUCUAUAUGUGCUCCAUAUGUACAACACAAUUACAAAGCAAACAAUGUUACAAUUAAACCAAAAACAAAAAUGUAAAUGACCUUCAAAUCGAACUGCAUAUAUAAACUACCAAGCCUAAUUAACAUAAAGGUAAUUUAUUAAUUAGCAGUUUUUUUUUUCUAGCCCCUAAUAUAUUUAGUGUUUUCUUAAAUAUUUUCUUUUUUGCUAAAACUAAACUGUUAUAUAUAAUAAUAAAAAUCAAUAAAAGUUUAUUAACAGAAAUCAAAAGUUUUAUAACCUUUUAUUGAUUUUUUUACGGAAAUUAGUGAUAGAUGUUGACCAAAAAAAAAGAAACUAAAAGCUCAUAUCAUUCAUUAGCAUAGUACAAAUUGAAAAAUAAAAUAGUUUUUUUUUUAACUAUGAAAAAAAAAGUUGUAGACGUAUAUGUAUAUCAAAUACGGUUAGCCACAUGCGACCAGCCAGCCAACCCAAACUAAAUACAAAUUAUUCAAGUAUAUAAUAUCAUUAUUUAUAUGAUAAUCACACAUGAAAUCAACCAAGAGGGAGUUACUAGCUCAUAAGCUUCGUGGAGCAUCAGCCACUUCCUUCUCUCCACAACAUCUCACUGUAAAACUUAAUUAGAGUGUUAUUAUUCAGCAAAGUCUUCCUUGCAUCAGCGACUGGUAAAUGGGUUUGCUGAGAAAACAGCAGUAUUUAUGGAACUAGUCAGGAUGACGUUGAUCAGACUAAAUGUGGCAGAGAGGACGCCAUCCGGUACGACAAGAUUGCAAUUUCCUGCGGGAAGAUUAACUCCGAGACCGCAAAAACUAGGGUCAAACAAAGCAUUGUUUAAAAUGUUGAGCACGAUGGUAAAUGCACCGGUCGUAUUGGUCACUGCUUGACCGAGACUAGUGGUUGAGCCGGCACAGGUUAAGUAAACAGUGGCAUUCGAGAUCGCAGGGGCUCUAGGAUCUCCGACAGGUGAACAAUACACGACACCUUCAAUUAUGAUACGGGUUAUGUUGAUGCCAGGGACUGAGACUAUGCCAUGGGAAGGAGAUGACAGUGCAGCCAUGAUGAUAAGUAUGGAGAUGAGACCACCAUUUAGUUUCACCAUUUUUUUUUUGUACUCUGAUAUGAUUUGUUUUGUAGAAUGGUUUUUCCUGUCUAUUGCUACGAACUGAAGAAGCAUAUGGAAAGGGGUAUUUAUAUGGGAAGAAUGAAUGGAUUUACGUAUGCCGUAUUGUUACGGAUGUGUUUUCUAACUCUCUCUCAGUUGUAUUGGUUGUAGAUGACUGUUAGGUCUUUUUUUGUGCGAGCCAUCCUUGCGCAGGAGCCAAAGGGGCAAGGGCGAUGAAUGUUAUUUCACAUAUGAUGUGAAUAUUAUUAUUAAAUGUAUGUACUGUAUAUGUGGUUUUUCGUGCACGAGAUCAUUUUGAAGUUACUAAAAAGUGUUUACUGCAUUAAAUUUCUCCAAGAAAAAUGAAAUAGAGAAAUAUGUGUUCCUUAUUAGAAGAGUUUCUAUCAUAUUAGCAAAAUCGUAGUUAAUGCGUUUUGUACGUCUGGGAUAUCUAUAACUCUAUUAUGAGGUUCAUAUUCGUCGUUAAUUAUAACUAUAAAUGUUAAAUAGAUGAAUAAUCAUGUCAUGAAAAAAAUCAAUUACAGUAUGUUGUGUUUCCGUGCUUUUUGGUUGCCAUUGGGGUCAAACUUUCGUAAGAACUAAUCGAUACUUUGACUGCAAGGUGUGACGUAAGCUCGGAUUCGGAAUUAGUUCAUCAUGCUAGAGGAUCUUCCCGGUCCACAGUACUUUUUUACAAUACAAUACGUUGCCUACUUAAACCAAGAGUCAAAUCUUUCAAUCAAUCCUUAUAUUCACUAGGCACUGAGAAAAUGUUCAGCUUCCUUUGGUCUUGAAUCAAAGCCGUCCUUGUCGUUCGUUUCUCCACCGCAAAAGAAGCGGAAUAGGAGCGCUGUCCAUGAAGACUCUCCUGCCGUCUCUUGUCGUGUAUUCAUACUUCCACUUUGGUCCUAGAAGCCAUGCCAUUGCAGUUCCACCAAGUAAACCACCAAUCUGAAUUCAUCAGAGAUAUUAUUAUCAGACCACUUGCAUUCGGUCAUUGAUCCAAGAAAAUCAAAAUGGUUUAUACAUUUGAAGGCAUGAUUGGGUUACUUACAUGUCCCCAGUUAUCUAUGCGUCUGGACAUUAGACCCAUUGUCUGCAUAGUAAUUAAAGCUAGUUAGAAUUUGAGAGACAUUAUCCAAAUUUAUAAUUCUAUUGUAGCAAUUAUGUUUCUUUCUGUUUACUACUUACCAUGUUUAAAGCAAUAACUUGAGCUAUCUGCAUUAGAUCUUCGUUGCCACCUCCGACCAUCUGUUUGUGUCUUAUAACAAAUACCGCUACCGAGCCAACCUACCAGAAUUAUAGGACAUUCAUUUAACAAACUUCAUCUGUACCAGAGAACUCUGAAACAAAGGCUUAUGGUUUUAUGGGACUUACCAAUCCAAAAAUUGCACCCGAAGCACCAACUGAUGGCGCUUUGUUGAACCAGUAGCUCAUUGCUGAACCUAGAAUUCUUAAGAUGGGUUCUGUGAGUCAGGAAACUCGAAACACAGAAAUAUACUCAUCCACAUCAAAGUCUAUGAACAAUUAGUUACUUGCAAUUGCGGAUGUCAAGUAAACGGAAAUAAAUCGCUUUGGGCCACCUAAACUCUCAACAGUCGGUCCAAUGGAAUUCAAAGAAUAGCAGUUUAUCUAAAACCAAGAGGAAGAAACAGUUUAGCCACACAGACAGCAAAAGGAAAAAAGAAAAAAAGUAAGCAGCAUUGAUAAGAAAUAACAAAAACUGAAUGAUUGGUUAGAAACAGACCAAGAGAUGCAUAGGAUUCGCAUGAAGAACAGAAGCUGUAGCCAGUCUCCAUAGCUGACCUCUUUCGAUUAAACUAUUUAUCUGCAUUCAUCCACAUAUAUCGAUUUGCAGCAAGAAAAACAAACAGUCUCACAUUGUUAAUUAAGUCUCUGCAUAUGUUUUUACCUUGGCUCCCCAUGUAAGCACUUUCCCAUCAGAUGCAACUUGUGCAAUAUACAUUCUGGCAUCAUUAACACAAAAUGAUAUCAAUAAUAAGCAUCUGUAGCUCAUAACCUGAUCAAGCCUUAUAAAAAGCAUUCCACAAAAUGCCACAACAACAUAUCAAACCAAAAGAGCGUACAUUACGUUGAUGGCAAGGAGGACAUUGGUCCAUCGCCUUCCGUUAACUGUGUUUCUCUUGGAAGUCUCAGGGACCGAUGAUCCUUCCUCACCUCCUCUAGGGUUGAUCCUACUCCCUCCACCAUUAAAGAAACAUACAAACGACGAAGACGGUGACAUUCGGAUAUCAACUCUAGACUUGACAAAACUCGACCCAUUGAGUAGAAUCACUCUUCGGUAUCUUGCAAACUCCAUUCUCGCAGCAUCCGAAAAAAGCUGCAGUCUCUGUCGAAACAGCACAUAUAUAGUCAAACAAAACCGAGAUUGGCUUUGAAAGCUUGUGAAAUUUCACAAUCUCCAUAAAAUCAAAAGCACCAGACAAAGCAAUUUUAACACAAAGAGCUACAAUUAGUCUCAGAUUGAGGAGAAGAAGUGAUAAGAGACGGAGUAAGGCGAACCUGAAGGGAAGAGCGAAGAUGGGAGCUAAGGCGGAAGUGACGGGUAACAUGGUGGCAGGCGUGUACGGAUGCGACGGUUGCGAGACCUCGAAACGCCGUAGAUCCAGAUUCCGGUGGCCAGAGAUUGUGGUGAGGUAAUGACAGUGAUGAUGAUACCAUCUCCUCCUCCUUCACGGCUUCUCCAACUACUACUGAUGUGAUUUCUGAUUUUACCCUCUUGCUUCAAUUUUUAAUUUUUUUUUCGCUUCUUGCGUUUGUUACCUGUACAGGCUGUACCGAACCCAAAUCCAAUUCGAAUUUUAUAAAACAGAACCGUUUAACCGAACUUCACUAAAUAUUUGUAAAAACCUAUUCAUUUGUGCUUUGUGUUCGUUUUAGAGGAAUAUCUGUUUUUAGUAUUUGCUUUCUUUGGUACAAGUAGGCCGAAAGGAACUUUUGGAUCAAAUCAAAAAUCAUAGAAACGCUCCCAAGGACAAAAACUUAUCCUAAAGGUCAACAAAAAACAAGUUAAUUAGAUAAGUCUUUGAGUACUAAAAGAACGUAAAAAGGACAACUCCGUUAUUUUCAUUCAUGUUUUUUCUUUCCUAUCAUAGUUCUCUACAGAUAUGGAUGAUUUAGUUACUCUGAAUGUGAUGUUUCCCGUAUUUUUGUUGACUUGAACCUUAAAUGGUUACUCUUUUGUUCCGUUGUGUUGGUUUGCUAAUGAUAUCGAUGUCCGGUUCCUGAAACAUGCUGUCUUCUUUCUUGUUUUUCAUCGUACACUCUUGUCUUAACGUGAUUUCUUAUCAGUUAUAACCAAGUAAUGUGUAAGCUUAAGUAAAGAGUCUACUCAUUAAAUGUUCAAUUGAUUUUCGAAUAGAGAAGAGGGUUAAUAGUAGACGUCUGACUCUCACAGUAGUAACUGAGUAUUGAGACAAUAUUUUGGAUCUGCCAAAAAAAAAAAACCAAAAGCAUAUAGAUAAAAGAGAAAGACAAGGGAUUAGCAUGAAUUGUGAAGGUAGAUGAGUGGUUUCUUCUAUUCACAAGCGAGCUUGGUGUCAAAGCUGCUUAAGCAAAUUGCAAACGCCUGAAACGCCGACAAUGGAUACCUAUAAUCCAUUGUGAACAUAUCUUUACCCACUUUACCAAACUGGAGAAUCACCUUGUCUUGCUCCGGGUGAGGGGGAGCAGCCGCUGCCCCGCCUGUUCCUUGAGGCUGCGGCUGUCUUGCUGCUACAAGCUGGAAAUUCUUUACCGAUGCAACUGUCACUCGUCCGCGGAAAUUCAAACACCAGCAUUGUAACUGCUCGUGCCACCUCGGCUGCUUGUUCUUUAAUAUCAAUGGUCUGAAACUUGCUUCUUCUUCGUUGUCUUCGCAGGAUAUUCCGAUUUCAGAGAAUCUUGAACUGUUGAAAUCGAGGGAGCGGUGGUCGAAUGACGAUUUGGAAAAGGAGAUGUUACUGCGGAAUGAUUCAUCGAGAGAGUAUGGAGCCGGGAUUAGUUUAUCGGGUUGGUUAGGGACCGAACCGCCUGGUUCAAGUGAUGAAAUUGGGAUGGAGUUCAUGAUGCAGUGCAUUCGCCGUGGCCCGCGUGUGCCCAACACAUUGAGCUCAUAGGUGAUUUGAGCAAUGUUGUAGCUGCCGGAUGGGACUUUAGGAGAAACUCUUCUGGAGUGAAAUCUGCUCCUGCUUGUUCGAUCAGUGAUCAGUGCACUCGAAGAUGUGUUUGGUGGUGGUUGUGUGUCGUACACCAAGAACUUUGUCCCAAGGAAGUUUGAUCUGAGAGAGAAAGAAACCUCAAUGAGCUUGAGUUAUAGGAAUCACUAAAGAUACAUUUUCUACACACAAGAAAUCCAAACCAGACACGUACCAAUCCAUUUGGUUUUUGUAUUUCAAAAUGCAAGAGAUUUGAACCAAAAGCAUCAAGGACUGAAAACGAACCUGAGUUUUCCAAGGUAAGAGUUGCUGGAUCUUGAGAUAUUAUCAGCAUCCAUGGAGAUAAUGUACUCGGUCCGAGUAGUUCUACGAGUUCUUUUAGCCGAAAGAAGAAAUUUCCCAUUCUCCACUAGUAGAGCUGGAAAAAAAACAUUACUCAAUUUUUAUUUAGCCUAAAAACUAAGUGAAUUAAGAAAACAAGUAACUUGAGUCCAAACAAAGCUUACCGGGACUUAAACAAAGAAAAAGGUGAAAUGUUAGUUUUGAUUUAUCCCUUUUAAUGAAACACUGAAUCAUUGCAUCACGCGGCCCUGGCUGCAAAUUUUUACAUCACAAAACAAAAAGCUUAUUCAUCAGUAGUUUGAACCAAACAACAUCAAAUUAGCAACAAGACCGUAGGGAGCAAAACCAAACCUGUUUGAGGGAAACUGGGAAAGUGAGCUUUCCACAGAUUUCAGGACAUAAAACAAUCUCUUGGCACAUAGCUCUCCAAGACCGACAAACCGAAGCACAAGCCACGACAUGUUUUCUUGCAGGCCAAUUACUCUCACUCUCCUCUAAUCUUUUGAUCACAUCAAAGAGUAGCUCUGGAGGAAGAUUAGCCCAUCUGCUUGUCUGAACUAUCACAGGCGACAAGAGAUCACGAGAAGACGAAUACUCACGGAACGAAGAGCCCUGAGAUUUCCCUUUAUGAAGACUCGAAAGCCUGAAAUCAAAACUCCUCCUUGACAAGCUCCCAAACCCAUCUCUCAAAUCUUGAACAAUGCUCCUAAACGACAUUUCUCUCUUUCUCUUUUCAAAGAUUCUUCUCAACAAGACCAAAAACCUCUCUUUACAACCAGAAAUGCCUAAAUCCAAUAAAGAGCUUUACACUGAGAUGAGAGACUCCACUCACUGUCCAUUAUCAUAAGCACCCAUAAGAGAAAAAAGUGAAUCAGGUUAGCAAUUCUGAGUCAUCUUCUUAAUAAGUAAGAAAUAAAAGAAAAAGAGCCAAGAAAAAAAAGUAAAGUGGAGCCUAAAAGAGAAAGAAGCUUGGCAAAAGCUUAGGAAAGAAAAGAUAUACAAGCAUCGCAUGCCCAAUAAAGAAACUAGGUCACGUCCCCAAUAUAGCUUUUCUUUCUUUCUUAGGGACAAUAAUUAAACACAGAGAAUCUGAUGAUAAUUCACCAAAAAUGCCCCAAAAUUGAGAUCAUAAGAUGCAUAAUCAGGACGCAAAAUCUGAUAUUGAAGCAAAAAAGCUCAGAUAUUACAGCUAAUACUCUUACUUAAACUGGAGAUAACAGAGUCGUAUCCACACACACACACACACACAUAAAAAAAAAAUCAAGAGCAUUAAACAGUUUCCACAAAAUUCAGGUCAUCAUAUUCAAACCGAAUCUUUACAAAAAGGGAAAUUUACUCAUCUGAUUUACUUGUACUACUAGAAAGUCAAAAAUCUAAGUUAAUUUCAGACAAGAGUACAAGACUGUUUUUUAUGACAAACAAAAGAUUAUACAACAACAAGAAUCAGAGAUUUGGGCUAGAUAAAGAUCAAAGACAGAAAAUGAAAAGGGUUAGUAAAGGAUGAACCUUUGAGACAAGCUGAUGAAAACCCAGAAGCUUUUUAAUUACACCCAAUCUAACAAAUCUCUUCAACUUCAGCUUCUAUCGCCGACCAAAACCAGAAGCUCAGCAAAAAAGCAAAGAAGAGAAUCAGGGAUUCUUCUUACAAAAAAAAAACUCUUAAAAUCCUCCGGAAAUUACGGAUAAACAGAAGAAUUAGAGACAAGAUCACAGAGAUUUAAGCAGAUCUAUAGGAGAGCCUAAAUCUAAACACAAAAGAAGCCAUAAAGUCAAAGAAGAACAACAACAAAAACCAGAAAAAGAUAAAGUCGUCUUCUUCUUUCUUUUUUUUGUGCCUUCUUCUCUCUACUUUUUUUUAUUUCCAGUACUCAGGAGCUUUUCUUGAUUUUACUUUAAUAGUUCACGAGACAGCAAGAAAAUGAUUUAAGAAUUAUAAUAUAUAAAUAAAAUCUAGAGGGACUCUCUCAAAUGGCUUUUUUUUCUUCUUCUUCUUCACUUCCUUGUUGGAUUUUUCUAUCGAAUUUAUAUGACAAUUUUAUAUAUAUAUAAAUCUUGUAUACGGAAGAGAGAGAGAGAGAGAAUGAAAAUUGUAAUAAGUGGACAUUGUGAAGCAUUAUUGUCCACGAGGCCGCAUGACCUACGCCUCGCAUCAAGCGAAGACCCAACCAUAGUUUUGACUUUUAACAAAACCAAAUAGCCAAAAAAAAGAGUUAAAACCUUUUUUAACUAAAUUGUUGUAACACUGAUAGAGAUUUUACACCAUUGAACUUGGAGUCUUAUCACUGAAUAAUACAAAUCAUUUCGAUAUUGAUUUAUACGGUAUGUUUCAUCACAUCAAUUUUUUUUUUCUUAAGUCAAAUUUCUUGUUAGUUUAUAUAUCAUAAAUUUAUAAUUAAAUGAAUUGGAGUAUGAGUAGAUCUAUGAUGAAAGGAUAUAUAUACAAUUAAAAUAUUACUCUUUAAAAUAUUAAAUACCUAACCCCAUUCAAUUUUUAGUAAGUUAUUAUGAACUUUCAGAAAAAAUCAAAACGACUUAAGAUACUUUAUUAAAUACUUUUGGGGGAUGAGAAAAGUUUAGCUCAAGCCUUAAAAGUUUCAAGUUAUAACUAUACGAUUUGGCGAACACGUUUUUUGUUCUUAUAUAAAACCAUGCACUAUGUGAAGAGUAUUGGAUUUUAACAGUACUUCUAUAGAAUCUGAGAAAAAUUUCGAAUCUUUAAAUAGGUUUAUGCAUUGUUUUAUCAAAUAUCAGAUCAUUUGGUUUACAAACACGAUCUUAUCAAUAUCUAUAAUUAUUUAAGAGAUGUUAUUAUAAUCUGAUGAUUCAGAUCGACCAAGAUUAGAUCGGUCAGCAAGCCUUAAUGCCUAGCUCUACUCUAGCCCAUUUCAAUUUUCAGAUAAGAGUAGUAAAUCUUUCGGGUGGAGAACAUAUAAGUCCUCGUGCUUUCUAUUUAGUAACUUGUUACAAGUGUGUAUGCAACCCACUUUUAUUGAUAGAGAUCGAAAUGACACGCAUACAUUUUGCUAUAUCAUGAUUCAUCUCUUGUAAAUGCCCAUGUGGCAUUAUGAAUAUUUUGCUACCUGCUGUCGAUUGUAUAGGCAUCAAUUACCAAUAAUGCACUGUUUUAUUUAUGGGUGAUUACAAACUAUAUCGACGGUAUGGCAUCAUGAUCAUUGUCAUGCUACCCGUUCAAAAGUUUGUAUUAUGUAGAAACUUUUCUUUUAAUAGUAUAGAUUCUUUUUUUAAGAAUCUAUAUAUUCCAAUAUUAAUCAUAGUUUUGCGCAUACCGCAUAUUAUUAUCUAGCCAUAUAUAGUUGUUGUUGUUGGUUACAACAUAACUAUAUGAAAUGGAUCGUAGUGAAUAUGAAGUUUAAGCACGAGUCUCUUUUGUCUUUUCACCUCCUGCAAUUACAAAAAGUACAUCAACAUGAUCAGUUCCGAGUGCCCUUUUGGUUUCCAUAGAGUUACAAAAGCAUCUCAUCGUUCCACAACUCAUGAUCCGGUUCUAGCAGAUAAACAUAUGGUAUUAAGUUUCAUCCAUACAAAAUUCAAGAUCAGGUUUCAUUAAUCUAUUCUACUAGACAAAUUAAUAUUGUUACCUGUACCGCCACACCGAACGUAGCAUUUGUGGUGACAUCGAAUCAGCUUUUUAUCUGUAUUAAAAGAGAGAAUAUUAAAACGGAUGUGUACAUGGAAGCUAAGGAUGAUUAAGUAAGAAGGGAGUACUACUCACUGUCGGGAUUGACACAGCCAGUGGUGCAAGCGUCGUAGCAGUUGACUGCGUCUAGCUUUCUAAAUGGUUUGGGGCCUAACUUAGCCUCCGCCACCAUAUCCAUGUUGGAAAACAAAGCCACCAGAAUCAGAAGUGUAGCCACUACCGUCACUUGCUUCUUCAUCAUUCUCUCGAUCACUCCCGGAUUUUCUCUUUCGUUAUCUCUUAGGUCUUCUUUGUUUUUGGCCUUCUCCCUCUAGUCAAGGGCGAUCUGUUUUUGGGUUUUAUAAAAGAUCUACGAAAGAAGAAAAAAAAAAAAAGAGGCAAUGUUGCCAUGUUUGACUACUUGUCCAUAUGUACACGCGUCAUGAUUUAUCUCCCUACAUUUCCUAUCCUUUUAUAUAUCCAAACCCUAUUACAUUGAAUCUAAGUGAAAAAUAGAUCACCGACGUAUAACGUAUAAAAAUUCAUUAUGAGAUAGACAUGCAAUCCUAUGUAUAUUAACAAAAAAAAAUUAACUUUUAUCCAAUGAUAGUCUUUAUUUGAUAUAUAAAUCGCGUAAUAGCUGUCACUAUAUUGCUCCCUACUUUUUUUUUUUUUCCUUUUUAUAUUGAUAAUAGCCUACUUGUUGUUUUACUAAGGUAGUGUAUUACAGUGUUGCUUAGUUAUUGCAGCAAAAAGCAUCCAAACACAGUCUACCUUAAUUUCAAUCUCGUAAAUUAAC